AGGACGAACGCUGGCGGCGUGCUUAACACAUGCAAGUCGAACGGAAAGGCCCUUUCGGGGGUACUCGAGUGGCGAACGGGUGAGUAACACGUGAGUAAUCUGCCCCUAGCUCUGGGAUAGCUCCGGGAAACCGGGAUUAAUACUGGAUACGACCACCUUAGACAUCUUUUGUGGUGGAAAGAAUUUCGGCUAGGGAUGAGCUCGCGGCCUAUCAGCUUGUUGGUGGGGUAACGGCCUACCAAGGCGACGACGGGUA
RNAcentral lists this ribosomal RNA (256 nucleotides) under uncultured bacterium. Its description in RNAcentral is "partial small subunit ribosomal RNA". It matches the Rfam family "Bacterial small subunit ribosomal RNA", at positions 26 to 285 of the family's 1533-position model. The record is from RNAcentral.